This 446-nucleotide ribosomal RNA is filed under the name uncultured bacterium. RNAcentral's name for it is "partial 16S ribosomal RNA". It matches the Rfam family "Bacterial small subunit ribosomal RNA", at positions 338 to 795 of the family's 1533-position model. The record is from RNAcentral.
CCUACGGGUGGCAGCAGUCGAGAAUCAUUCACAAUGGGGGAAACCCUGAUGGUGCGACGCCGCGUGGGGGAAUGAAGGUCUUCGGAUUGUAAACCCCUGUCAUGUGGGAGCAAAUUAAAAAGAUAGUACCACAAGAGGAAGAGACGGCUAACUCUGUGCCAGCAGCCGCGGUAAUACAGAGGUCUCAAGCGUUGUUCGGAAUCACUGGGCGUAAGGCGUGCGUAGGCUGUUUCGUAAGUCGUGUGUGAAAGGCGCGGGCUCAACCCGCGGACGGCACAUGAUACUGCGAGACUAGAGUAAUGGAGGGGGAGACGGAAUUCUCGGUGUAGCAGUGAAAUGCGUAGAUAUCGAGAGGAACACUCGUGGCGAAGGCGGGUUCCUGGACAUUAACUGACGGUGAGGCACGAAGGCCAGGGGAGCGAAAGGGAUUAGAUACCCGGGUAGUC